Molecule: long non-coding RNA, 315 nt
Filed under: Ananas comosus (pineapple)
Lineage: Eukaryota; Viridiplantae; Streptophyta; Magnoliopsida; Poales; Bromeliaceae
Description: long non-coding RNA (ACOM_LNC022886)
Source: RNAcentral
CAUCAAAUUUAAAACUUCGUGUUAUCCUAUCCGCAAAUGAAAGUUUUAUUUUUUUUUAAAAAUUGAUAACAUGCUAUCGCUUCUUUCACUUAUUUUUUUCUUUUGAGAAAAGGUAGCAAGCUACCUGCUUCAUUCAAUAAUUAAAACAGUAAAUUAAUCAUACAAGAUGGAAGCAGCCAAGACCUCCUGAAAAAAAAGUAGAGUAACAGAGGAAAAAAAUAACAACAAAAAAAAAAAAAAAUAUAAAUUUAAUUAACAAUAUAAAAUAAUUAAAUUUAAAAUUUAAAAUCUCGAAUAUUAAUUAUUAAAUUUUUU